UUUCAAGACUAAGACUAAGUUCUGUGGUGGAAAAGGUGUGGAAGAUAAAGGACGUUCAAUUCUAAAUACUGAACCUGAACAAGAACAGCAGGAAAAACUGUCCUCACUGAGGAAUUCUAGCAGUUUGUAGACACACAAUACCAAGUCUGUUUUAAGUUUGGCUGGUGUCUUCCAGAAGAUGCAUAAUUAUUUGGAGUCUUCUGAAUGAAAAUAUGCCAGAAGAGGAAAUAGUGAAUUGGUUGUAGAACCCAUGUGCUUUCAUAUAAUGACAUUAGAGUGAUGGAGAUCUUUCCUAACUGGUUAGAGUGACAAAAAACACAGAAAGCAGCAUGGAGUAUGUACUGGACAGAGGAACUCAGUGGAGACUCUGAGUUGCCAAUGGUUCUUUUUCUUGCUUACCUGAUUUAAAAGCCCUUCUUCAAAUCCCACAGAGGAGGAUCUCUUCUAGAGCUUCUACCUUUUUACAGUAUGGAGAGCCACGGCUUUGGCUGMCAGAGCAAGCAAUAGAGUGACCUGCG
Molecule: long non-coding RNA, 518 nt
Organism: Nothoprocta perdicaria
Lineage: Eukaryota; Metazoa; Chordata; Aves; Tinamiformes; Tinamidae
Exons: 6
Source: RefSeq, a predicted model, not a curated record